RNAcentral lists this ribosomal RNA (449 nucleotides) under Staphylococcus aureus. Its description in RNAcentral is "bacterial SSU rRNA". It matches the Rfam family "Bacterial small subunit ribosomal RNA", at positions 56 to 489 of the family's 1533-position model. Lineage: Bacteria; Bacillati; Bacillota; Bacilli; Caryophanales; Staphylococcaceae. The record is from RNAcentral.
UGCAGUCGAGCGACGGACGAGAAGCUUGCUUCUCUGAUGUUAGCGGCGGACGGGUGAGUAACACGUGGAUAACCUACCUAUAAGACUGGGAUAACUUCGGGAAACCGGAGCUAAUACCGGAUAAUAUUUUGAACCGCAUGGUUCAAAAGUGAAAGACGGUCUUGCUGUCACUUAUAGAUGGAUCCGCGCUGCAUUAGCUAGUUGGUAAGGUAACGGCUUACCAAGGCAACGAUGCAUAGCCGACCUGAGAGGGUGAUCGGCCACACUGGAACUGAGACACGGUCCAGACUCCUACGGGAGGCAGCAGUAGGGAAUCUUCCGCAAUGGGCGAAAGCCUGACGGAGCAACGCCGCGUGAGUGAUGAAGGUCUUCGGAUCGUAAAACUCUGUUAUUAGGGAAAAACAUAUGUGUAAGUAACUGUGCACAUCUUGACGGUACCUAAUCAAAAA